GCCCAGUGAUGAGAUUAUGGCAAACGUGAGACGAGUGGCUGAGAGACUGUAUCUUCUAGCUCUCUGAUUGGUGGGUAAUCUUGGAUGAGCAGUGGAGAUUGGCUGCCCACCUGUAAGGGCCCACCCACAGUACAGACAGCAACCAAUCAUAAUACCAUAGUCUCCUAAAGAAAUGGGCUAUGGAAAGUGAUGGGUAGCAUAUAUAUGUGUGUGUGUGUGUGUGUGUGUGUGUGUGUGUGUGUGUGUGUGUGAGUGAGUCAGACAGCAGAGUUGCAGUCCUCUUUUCAAGUCACUUGGCUUUGAGCAUGUUCUUUGGUAAUCUGAGGGCA
Electrophorus electricus (electric eel) is the source of this 329-nucleotide small nucleolar RNA. Lineage: Eukaryota; Metazoa; Chordata; Actinopteri; Gymnotiformes; Gymnotidae. The record is from RefSeq and is a predicted model, not a curated record.